AUGGCUCCACCUUCCCAUCUGAAGAUGAAGAUGAAGAUGCUCGCCGUGGUGUGCGUCCUUGUGCUGGUCGGCCUCAGCUUGAGCCAGCAGGCGACGGCGUCGGGCUGCGAUGACUGCGCCGACGAACACAAUCCGGCGGUUUGUGCUCGCAGUUGCACUGAAUAUUCCAGCGCCGAGCAUUCCUGCGCUGGCUGCCCCAUGCUGCAAAGCAUGCUUUCGUGCUCGCAAAAAUGCUUGGAUGGUUGCUUUCACGCGUGCGGUAGACGGCCCUGA
RNAcentral lists this ribosomal RNA (273 nucleotides) under Triticum aestivum (bread wheat). RNAcentral describes it as "partial small subunit ribosomal RNA". Lineage: Eukaryota; Viridiplantae; Streptophyta; Magnoliopsida; Poales; Poaceae. The record is from RNAcentral.